AAGCAUCAAGAACAUCAUUCAGGAGACACUCUAGAGAUGAGCUCUUCUGCAGGCUUAGUGACGGUGAUACUCUUAGUGCUUGGACAAAUCUGUGGAGACCGAGUAACCCAGAUGGGCGGCCAAGUGACUCUUCCAGAAGGGGCUGAGCUGACCAUGAAUUGCACUUAUUCAGCCACCUGGUACCCCAUUCUCUUCUGGUAUGUUCAACAUCCCAGAGAAGGUCUACAUCUCCUCCUGAAAGCCACGAAGGAUGAGGAGAAGGGAAUCCACAAAGGCUUUGAAGCCACACACCACGGAGAAUCAAAAUCCUUCCACUUGGAGAAAGCCUCCGUCCAGGAGUCAGACUCGGCUGUGUACUACUGUGCUCUGAGUGAUACAGUGAAGGGAACUGCAAGGGGAGCUGAGCACAAACUCUGA
Non-coding RNA from Hippopotamus amphibius kiboko, 417 nucleotides. NCBI's taxonomy places the organism in Eukaryota, Metazoa, Chordata, Mammalia, Artiodactyla, Hippopotamidae. The record is from the annotation of a RefSeq genome assembly.